Galeopterus variegatus (Sunda flying lemur) is the source of this 480-nucleotide RNA transcript. It is a transcript of the gene named myosin light polypeptide 6-like, with no coding region annotated. The record is from RefSeq and is a predicted model, not a curated record. Lineage: Eukaryota; Metazoa; Chordata; Mammalia; Dermoptera; Cynocephalidae. The transcript has a single exon.
GUCCAGCAGAGCUGAGCAGUCAAGAUGUGUGACUUCACCGAGGACCAGACUGCAGAAUUCAAGGAGGCCUUCCAGCUGUUUGACUGAACAGGUGAUGGCAAGAUCCUAUAUAGCCAAUGUGGGAACGUGAUGAGGGCCCUGGGCCAGAACCCCACCAACGCCGUGGUGCCCAAGGUCCUGGAGAACCCCAAGAGUGAUGAGAUGAAUGUGAAGGUACUGGACUUUGAGCACUUCUUGCCUAUGCUGCAGACUGUGGCCAAGAACAAGGACCAGGGCACCUAUGAGGAUUAUGUUGAAGGCCUUCGGGUGUUUUACAAAGAAGGGAACGGCACUGUAAUGGGCACUGAAAUCUGGCAUGUCCUUGUCAUGGUGGGUGAGAAGAUGACAGAGGAAGAAGUGGAGAUGCUGGUGGAAGGGCACAAGGAUAGCGAUGGUUGUAUCAACUACGAAGAGCUCGUCCACAUGGUGCUGCAUGGCUGA